This 368-nucleotide ribosomal RNA is filed under the name uncultured organism. RNAcentral's name for it is "bacterial SSU rRNA". It matches the Rfam family "Bacterial small subunit ribosomal RNA", at positions 526 to 896 of the family's 1533-position model. The record is from RNAcentral.
CGGAGGGUGCAAGCGUUAUCCGGAUUCACUGGGUUAAAGGGUGCGUAGGCGGAAUGGAAAGUCCGUUGUGAAAUCUCUGAGCUUAACUCGGAAAUUGCGGUGGAUACUAUCAUUCUUGAAUACUGUGGAGGUUAGCGGAAUAUGUCCAUGUAGCGGUGAAAUGCAUAGAUAUGACAUAGAACACCAAUUGCGAAGGCAGCUGGCUACACAGAUAUUGACGCUGAGGCACGAAAGCGUGGGGAUCAAACAGGAUUAGAUACCCUGGUAGUCCACGCCCUAAACGAUGAUUACUCGACAUUUGCGAUACACAGCAAGUGUCUGAGCGAAAGCAUUAAGUAAUCCACCUGGGAAGUACGACCGCAAGGUUG